This 1329-nucleotide unclassified non-coding RNA is filed under the name Hevea brasiliensis (rubber tree). The record is from RNAcentral. Lineage: Eukaryota; Viridiplantae; Streptophyta; Magnoliopsida; Malpighiales; Euphorbiaceae.
AAAAAAUGGCAACAAAAACUUGAAAGGACUUGACAGGCAUGUUAUUGAUUAACUAAAUUGAAAAUUGAUCAUGACAUGAGCUAGUAACAGUGGAACACAACUCACAAUAAUAGAAUCUUAUUAGACAAAAACUUGUAAACACCAUAGAAAAAGGCUUCUAAACUUGUAGACUAUGUCCAAUGCUGCCGAAAUUGAAUUUCGGGCCAACUUAGCACAUAAGAAUUCCAAUCAGCUCAUUUAAGCCUAAAUUACAUAGCACAGGUGAUUCGCGCAAGAGAAAUUAAAGAAAAAAAGCUCAUGGACAACUAUGAACAGGUGAAACCAGUUUACUCUCCCUUCCUCCCUUCCUCAACAAAGCACAACACUGGCCAAAAAAAAACAAAUUCAUCCUCAUCUUCUCAACAAUUUCAACAAGGCAAAUCACAAUCAACUAUCACCAAAUAAAGGCUUUCAAUAUAUCACAAAUAAACAACCAACAAUCAAAAUUUUCCCAUAAAUUCCAAAAACUCGAUUAAAAACCAAAAAUAAAAACACAAAUCAAGGCUUCCCUUUAAUCAUAAGCCACAAAAACCCAAAGAGUAUUACAGGACUGCCUAGGUGGAAGUUUCAUCACUUCAUUCACAAUGAGACGUGCUGGCCACUCUCAAUUCAAGAACCUAGCUCGAAAUUGUAGGGUUGCAACUCCUUCCUUCUCUGCUUCUUUUCUCUUCUCUCCAAUCAGAUUCAACUGAUGUCUUUGCUCUUUGUCUUCAACCUUCACCAUAGCGAAAAAAGUCUAAGUUUUGAAAAGAAAAAGAAAAUUUUAUGUAGUGAGUCUCGUAAUUGUAGGAGGGUCGUGGGCAUCAUGACUGUAAAAGGAAGGGGAAGCUGCAGGGGCUUGCUAGUCCUGACUGCAGAAGGAAGGAGGAACUAUGAGUAUUGCAAUGACAGUAACAGAGGGAGAGGACUAAAGAGGGGUCACGAUUCUGAAUUUUUGUUUUACCUCACACUUCUUUGCAGUCAGUGUAACACAGAUGAGGGUUUUUAAGCUUAAAUGAUCUGAUUGGAAUAGUUGUGUGCUAAUUUGUCCAAAAAGCUCAAUUUGGAUAACAUUGAACAUGGUCUAUAUGUCCAGGUGCCAAAUUGAACUUUAUGCCAUAAGGAAAACACCAUCCUUCCAAGCAUAUCCCUCCAAACUACUGCUCUAAAUGAAUAAUUCCGAGGCUAAGCUAAAAAGCAACUAACAGAUAACAAAGAUAUUCAAAACCCAAAAUGCAUUAAACAGCGAAUAAUCAUUUAAAGGACCAAAACAUUGAGAAUUCCUGCCUGUAACCCCAAACCCAACAACAG